UCCCUGAAGUGGCAAAACAGAGGGAAUUAAGUGGAACCCUAGAAAGUGAGGCUGAGAUGAAGUUGAAGAAACAACUUUCUGAUGCAAAGACCAAGGAGCUUGUUGGCCAUGACAUCUUUGCUCCUCCACCUGAAAUUCAACCUCGUCCAUUGGCUGCUCGUGCAUUAGCACUAAGAGAAAGCAUUACCAUUGGAGAACCUGCAAAUAAUGGCCUCGUCCAUUGGCUGCUCGUGCGUUAGCACUAAGAGAAAGCAUUACCAUUGGAGAACCUACAAAUAAUGUAUGUACAUCUAUCAAUUUCUUUCGUUCAAUUUAUACAACAAGAACAACCUAGUAUAAUCUCACUUAGUGGGGUUUGGGGAGUGUAGUGUCUACGCACACCUUAUCACCUUAUCCCUACCCUGGGGUAGAGAGACUGUUUCCAAAUAGACCCUCGCCAUCCUUCCCUCCAAGACCUUAUAAACUUAUAAACUUGCAUAUUCCACAUUCUGCUUUGCAUUCCAUAGGUUCAAUCUUUAUCCAGUUACUUUUAGAGCGGCAAUUGUAUCAGGAGCAUAAAGGUUGAAAUUGACAAAGAACUAUCCUUUGCAUUAGUAGACUCUCUAAAUGAUCCCACAAGAAACUGUUCCAGUUAGUCUUUAAUCCUAAAAAUGUGGAGUUUCUGAGCGUGUUAUCAGGCUUUAACUGCAAAAUCUUGGCUUAGCUUAGCUUAACCUCCUCAGGACAGGGAGGAGAGAGGAGUUGAGUGCACAGACACUAGCUUAACAUCUGUCUUCUCAUUAUUUCUCCAUCCGAUUUUUGAUUCCCUUCACCAUUUGUCAGCAAAAUAUGUUCAGCCUCGUUCUUUUAAUCUUUUGUCAGG
Molecule: long non-coding RNA, 862 nt
Filed under: Nicotiana benthamiana
Lineage: Eukaryota; Viridiplantae; Streptophyta; Magnoliopsida; Solanales; Solanaceae
Description: long non-coding RNA (NBEN_LNC023479)
Source: RNAcentral